Long non-coding RNA from Helianthus annuus (common sunflower), 198 nucleotides. RefSeq lists it as uncharacterized. The transcript has 2 exons. Lineage: Eukaryota; Viridiplantae; Streptophyta; Magnoliopsida; Asterales; Asteraceae. The record is from RefSeq and is a predicted model, not a curated record.
UUAUUUUGUUUGCAGGUAAUGCAUCUAUCUUCAACUAGAUGAUAUUAUUAGUGGUCAAGAAUCUUUAUUUCAAAUACUACAAAUCAACUAUACUAGACUAGUUGAGGCCUCUAAAAAGCUUGAGCCGACCCUGCAAAGAAUACACACGUUGAAGGUAAUCUAAACUACUGCCGACUUUUCUUCUUUUUUUCUUUUUUU